This 82-nucleotide transfer RNA is filed under the name Mycobacterium phage Bongo. RNAcentral describes it as "tRNA-Ser". Lineage: Duplodnaviria; Heunggongvirae; Uroviricota; Caudoviricetes; Vilmaviridae. The record is from RNAcentral. RNAcentral also lists the same sequence under 12 other names.
GAGUGGAACCAUCUAGGUGGAUGGCCGCGAUUGCUAAUCGUGGGGCAGCGUAACGCUGUGUGGAUCGUGCCCACUCCUCUCC